This 253-nucleotide ribosomal RNA is filed under the name uncultured bacterium. RNAcentral's name for it is "partial 16S ribosomal RNA". It matches the Rfam family "Bacterial small subunit ribosomal RNA", at positions 524 to 776 of the family's 1533-position model. The record is from RNAcentral.
UACGGAGGGUGCAAACGUUGCUCGGAAUCAUUGGGCGUAAAGCGCACGUAGGCGGUCUCGCAAGUCGGGUGUGAAAGCCCUCGGCUUAACCGAGGAAGUGCAUUCGAAACUACGAGACUUGAAUACUGGAGAGGGUUGCGGAAUUCCCGGUGUAGAGGUGAAAUUCGUAGAUAUCGGGAGGAACACCAGUGGCGAAGGCGGCAACCUGGACAGAUAUUGACGCUGAGGUGCGAAAGCGUGGGGAGCAAACAGG